This 558-nucleotide ribosomal RNA is filed under the name uncultured bacterium. RNAcentral's name for it is "partial 16S ribosomal RNA". It matches the Rfam family "Bacterial small subunit ribosomal RNA", at positions 355 to 907 of the family's 1533-position model. The record is from RNAcentral.
UGGGGAAUUUUGGACAAUGGGCGCAAGCCUGAUCCAGCCAUGCCGCGUGCGGGAAGAAGGCCUUCGGGUUGUAAACCGCUUUGUCAGGGAAGAAAUCUUCUGGGUUAAUACCUCGGGAGGAUGACGGUACCUGAAGAAUAAGCACCGGCUAACUACGUGCCAGCAGCCGCGGUAAUACGUAGGGUGCAAGCGUUAAUCGGAAUUACUGGGCGUAAAGCGUGCGCAGGCGGUUUUGUAAGACAGAGGUGAAAUCCCCGGGCUCAACCUGGGAACUGCCUUUGUGACUGCAAGGCUUGAGUGCGGCAGAGGGGGAUGGAAUUCCGCGUGUAGCAGUGAAAUGCGUAGAUAUGCGGAGGAACACCGAUGGCGAAGGCAAUCCCCUGGGCCUGCACUGACGCUCAUGCACGAAAGCGUGGGGAGCAAACAGGAUUAGAUACCCUGGUAGUCCACGCCCUAAACGAUGUCAACUGGCUUGUUGGGGAAAGGUUCCUUCUCAGUAACGUAGCUAACGCGUGAAGUUGACCGCCUGGGGAGUACGCCGCAAGGUUGAAUCAAAUG